ACGGGAUCUCAGUGGGCAUUGUCUUCAGUGUUUGAAACAAGAAUGCCCUGUGAAAUCCUGUCU
RNAcentral lists this microRNA precursor (63 nucleotides) under Eisenia fetida (common brandling worm). RNAcentral describes it as "Efe-Mir-193-P2f-v1_pre stem-loop". The record is from RNAcentral. Lineage: Eukaryota; Metazoa; Annelida; Clitellata; Crassiclitellata; Lumbricidae.